CCUACGGGCGGCAGCAGUGAGGAAUAUUGGUCAAUGGGCGCUAGCCUGAACCAGCCAAGUAGCGUGCAGGAUGAAUGCCCUACGGGUCGUAAACUGCUUUUACACGGGGAUAACAUGCACCACGUGUACUGCUCUGCAUGUACCGUGCGAAUAAGGACCGGCUAAUUCCGUGCCAGCAGCCGCGGUAAUACGGAGGGCCCGAGCGUUAUCCGGAUUCAUUGGGGUUAAAGGGAGCGUAGGCGGGGGGUUAAGUCAGCUGUGAAAGUUUCCGGCCUAACCGUAGCACUGCAGUUGAAACUGGACUCCUUGAGUACACAACAGGCAGGCGGAAUUCGUGGUGUAGCGGUGAAAUGCAUAGAUAUCACGAGGAACCCCGAUUGCGAAGGCAGCCUGCUGGGGUGUGACUGACGCUGAUGCUCGAAGGUGUGGGUAUCAAACAUGAUUAGAUACCCUAGUAGUC
Molecule: ribosomal RNA, 460 nt
Filed under: uncultured bacterium
Lineage: Bacteria
Description: partial 16S ribosomal RNA
Rfam family: Bacterial small subunit ribosomal RNA
Source: RNAcentral